Molecule: unclassified non-coding RNA, 601 nt
Filed under: Hevea brasiliensis (rubber tree)
Lineage: Eukaryota; Viridiplantae; Streptophyta; Magnoliopsida; Malpighiales; Euphorbiaceae
Source: RNAcentral
AUAAUGGUUGUUGAUAUUUGUGAUUAUUCUAGCUAUGAUGAGAGUCCUUUGAAUGUUUGAACUGAUUCUGAUGAGGAGAUAGUUGCAUUACAACUAGAUGGUUCAGUUCCACUAGUGUAUGAUUUUCAAGUUGUCGGGAUCUAUGAAAACUAGAUGGAUUUAAAAGUGGCUACCAUGAAGAAAGGGAUGAAGUUUUUUUUUUCUGGCAUAGGCUUAGGAAAAAGAAUAGAUGGCCUGGUAACUUUUUUUGAGAUGAAAGGGCAGAUCACGAGUUAUGGUUUAGGCUAUGAGCCAACUGAAGAGAAAGAAAAGCCAAAGCCUCCUAAGUCCUUGAAAGAGUGGCCCAUUACCUGGACAUAUGAUUAGGGGUUACUACAUGUGAAAGUGCUAAAGCAGAAAAUCAGGACCAUUGAUCUAAGAACUGCAUGGAAAGCUAAGCACCUAAAGCUACAUUCCUAAGUUUGAGUUUAUCUUUUAUAAUGCUUACAGUAGUGAUACUGAUGUUUCUAUUUCCGAUAUACUUGAUGCAAAUUUUAAGGUGAAGAUCAAUAACAUGACGAGUCCUUCUGCUUACUUAUUUGAUGUUUAUUCUAAUGGGCAU